ACCUAAUGAAUUAUCGUCGGUGCUGAAGAUUUCACUGGAUUCUCGCUUUUUCGAUUGGAGAAAAUCUCUUCUUCACUCAAAUCAUUGGGAUUUUUAAGGAUUUUUUUUGGUGAUUGGAUUAGUGGGAACUUCUGCAUUUCUGCAUUUUUUAAAAAAGUUUUGAUCGAAAUUUUGAUGAUCAAAGUGCCAAGCGAUUUCCCGGCUCUUUGGACCCAAAGUUAUCCAGUUAAACUUUUUUAAAAAAUGCGAUGAACAGCUCAUCUGCAGGACCCUCAUUGAAAUCUAAAGUCGGAUCUUCACAACCUUCUGAAACUUCAUUUAAGCGAAAGCGAGGAGUCUUUCAGAAAGACUUGCAGCACAUGAUGUAUGGUUUUGGAGAUGAUCCUAAUCCUCUUCCUGAAAGUGUGGCACUUGUAGAGGAUAUUGUCGUGGAGUAUGUAACAGAUUUGGCACACAAAGCCCAAGAUAUAGGAUCAAACAGGGGAAAGCUUGCAGUUGAUGAUUUUCUGUACUUAAUUCGCAAGGACCUCCCAAAACUUAACCGCUGUACAGAACUUUUAUCUAUGCAAGAGGAGCUGAAACAAGCAAGGAAGGCUUUUGAAGUGGAUGAGGACAAGUUAGCAUCUAUUGAGUGAGACAUGAGAAAGCAUGAAUUAACUGGCAUCCUGUUUUUUUUUUUUUUUUUUUUUUUU
Molecule: unclassified non-coding RNA, 692 nt
Filed under: Hevea brasiliensis (rubber tree)
Lineage: Eukaryota; Viridiplantae; Streptophyta; Magnoliopsida; Malpighiales; Euphorbiaceae
Source: RNAcentral